Molecule: small nucleolar RNA, 137 nt
Filed under: Ornithorhynchus anatinus (platypus)
Lineage: Eukaryota; Metazoa; Chordata; Mammalia; Monotremata; Ornithorhynchidae
Source: RNAcentral
GCCCUCUCAGGGUCUCACCUGGAGAGUUUCCAGUACUCUACCAGUCUCAGCUACCGGAGGGAGAGUCAAGAGAGGCAUACCCAUUCCAUUCCUAGCUUGGGCAGUGGCUAGCGAGUGGAAGGCAAUCUGCUACAAGU